UCUACUUCUUACAGAUGCCAAACUGAAGACCUGAGGGAGAAUUAUCUCAUACAAGAUCAAGCAGGAUGCCUGCUGCAGGAGCUGCGCCAGGGGAGGACCACCUCUGCUCAGAUGAGGCUGGGAGCUGGUGGAGAGGCACUGGGUGCCAGCUCUAGUCAUUGGGCAAAGCAGCAAGGUGGAAAGAUCUUCCUGAAGCUGGAAGUUUGAGCUUAGCCAUCACCCACUAAAGCCUCCUCUCCAUCAGAAGGACACCAGCGUCGGCCAGAUGAGAUGCUGCCUCCUCAUUGCCUAGCAAGUCCUCUCCCCUAUUGCCUACACAAAAGAAAAUAAGCAAAAGCAAUGAGUUUUUGUCUGGACAGAAAACUUUUGCCCUUCCCUGCAGGCAGAAGGGAAGUUUUACAUCAACUGCAGAAAAUCGGCAUCACCUUUCAGGUCCAAAGAUGCCUUUGAUGAAGCAAGGUGGAAUCAAAUGUCUGUGCAAAAGAAGAGCUCAAUGAUAUUGGAGAGAAAGUACCCAUUCACACUACAGAAAGGAUUUAAGUUCAGCCCAGGUCUUCUUCCAAGUCUCUAACAACACUGAUUUCCACUCAGGGAGAACAAAUAACGCUUUGGUCUUGUAAGAGGAGCCAUGGCUGCAUCUCUUUUUGAGUGACUUUGCCACAGAUUAGCCAGAGGGAGAGAGCUGAAGCUCAUGAUGGAAAUAGCUCUCAUCAAGAACAAGUGCUCCAGGGACGUAGGACAGUUAUUAGCUCUCUGUCAAUGUUCAGAGCAGGAGGAAUGUCUCUUUAAGAACCACACGUUCACUCAGAAGACACAUUUGCAGGGCCUCUCCCUAUUCUGUCUUCUCACUAACUGCUAAACUUGCUUUGAAAUGGUGAAGGAAUGAGCAGUUGGAGGUGCUUUAAAGGUAUGCAUGUGGAGGUAGCACACACAGAAGGUGUCAAAGGCUGAAAUGCAGCUCCUUUUGCAUGGAGCUCUGACCAAGGAAGGGAACAGCAACUGGAGGAUGGAGGGAUUGUGAAAUAUCCCAGCAGUGGGCAGGUACUCUCUUGACACCUCAGACGAUUUGUUUUGUAAAGGAAGUGAGUGUCUUCCUCAGACCAGCUGCUGCUGUGAUGGCAGAGCCUUGUUUGUGCAGCAGGGCUGCAGCAUCCCCUGAGCAGGAGCUCAGAUUUUGGCAGAGCUCACUCAGAGCCAGAUUCCACCCGCAGCAAUGGGAGCCAGGUGUGAUGGAAAGAAAUAGUUUUAGCAGAAUAGACUCCGUGCCACUGGGUUGGGGCAUGUGUGGAAUCUCACCGAGGGUCUUUCUGUAACACCACUAGGCAGGGAGGACCCACUCAUUUGUUCAUCACUGCAUUGAUUUGUUUGCUGGCUGAAGAUAAAUCAAAAGGAGACCUGAGCCCCACCUGGGGCUUUGGGUGCAGCUGAACACAUUCCCCAGCGCUGAUUUACAGCUGACCUUCAGCAUUUACUAUUUGUCAGCUCAAGGACUGUGACAUCAGGCUGCCAAAUUUAUGUUUAAUUAAUGAUGAAUCCUCCCCAUUUCUGGCCAGCUGAGAGGACAUGACUGUGCCCCAGGGACCAGGGUGCAGCGUCUCCUCGCCGAAUCUCUUAGAGCAGGAUCUGGAAGACAAGGUUGAAUUCCUUUGUGGCCUCCCAUCCCACAGCCAGCUGUGUCUGCAGAAGGUCUUCUCUUUGCGCUGACCCCAUAUCCUCAUCUCCUCUCAGCAGCAGGGCUUGGACAUCUAGGAAAUCCAUCUUUGCUAAAUUUCCAGGAUGACCAGCAGACAGCAAGGCAGACCUCUGAUUCCUGAUGAUGGAAAACAGAAGAAAUGUGGAAAUACGCUGUGGCAAGCCACAAAGUCUUUAAGAUCCCUUCAAACACUGUUACAAAAAGUAAUACAGGAGAAAUGCAGGUUCCUGAGCCUGUUGUGGUGGGAGCACUGGGACUGUGAGAGGAGGCGACCUGCGGCACGUCCCAUCGAUCCCCACACCAGGAGCACAGUGCAAAGGGAAUGUAAACCCCAACCUCCUUCCUGCCCUGGUAAUUCACCUUUUUUUCCCCCCUUCCUUUUUUUCUUAAAGGCUUUUCUGAGGGUCACACCCUUUCAUCUGUUUAUUUUUAACAUCUAACAUUUUCUGAACUUAAAUGUCAGCUCAGCUGUAGGCCCAGAUCUCAGUUCAUUCUGGUUCCAUAACCAUCCUUUAAUGCUUAAAGCACAUAUUUUGAAUUAGUUAAAUUAGAUUUUGCUCUCUUGUCAGUGACUGUCAGUCGUGAUGUUUUUGACUUUGCAGGUUCAAGAAGCAGCACAGUAAGCUGAUGUUGGAAGCAUGAAUUAGAUUUUUAAUAGAAAAAAAAUGUUGCUAGGAAGAUGAGGCUUAUAAAUGACUUUAGACAUGCGUCUGUAAUUACUACAUGCAUUUUUUUUCUUCUGUAUACAUAUGUAGGGAUUUAUAGGAAGCUGGUUGCUAUGGUAACUUCUUUACUGCAUGGUCCAUAUGUUACUUAAGAUAUUCUUUUUUCCUUAAUGGAAAAUUACACCCAUGGACACGGAUGGCAUUUGUAAAUCUUCUAGAAAAGCAACAAUUUCCCUUUUCUUCCUAAAUGUCAUCAGCUGUGCAAUGGGCGCCUUUGAAGUUUAAUUCUCCUCCUUGUCAGCUCACCAAACAGGAGACGUGCGCUGCAUCCAAACCUUCCUUCCUCUGCCUCAAAGUCUUCGCCUUGCUGGAGCCCACCUCUCCUUGCUGCCCUCAGCACCUGCCUAAACAUCCUGGCCAUUGACUUAUGAGCUUCCCUUUACUUCCCCACUACUCUAUAGCGUUCAAAUUACAACAGAGAAUAAGCUCAGCUCCAGGUGUGUGCACAGCUGGGAACACAGUGUUCUCUUGGCUGCUGCUCCAUGCUCUCAGGUUGGAAGGGGCAGAAAACCAGAGCCAUCCAUAGGCACAUCAGUACUUUUUGAUGUGGUUUGUUGGCUUUGAAUAUUCAAAGAGUUCUUUUAAGGUAGUGGCCUUUCUCUACUCAUCUACUGGGGCUGGAGAAAAGGAAAAGCAAACAAACAAGCCAACCCAACUCUUGCACUAUGGCAAACAUUUGUUUUGUCAGGUUCAGUCCAUUUUUGACAAGUCCAUUUAAACCGAGGGACUGGAAAUCCACAGUGGAAAGCUUGAGCAUUGCAGCUGAGGAGCAGUUCCCUGAGCUGAGACCCGUGCUGUACUGUUCCUCUUCAGCACACCUGCACUCAUACUGUACCUCAGCAUUUUCUUGCUGCCAUUGGCUAAGAAUACAUGCACGUCUGUAAAAUAUGGGUCUCAUUGAGGCUGGAUUGGGGUGGAUUUAACUCUGUGUAUCUGAAACUCACCAAAAACUCAGAUCCAUUAAAACGUAUUCUUAACCUUAUUUUUUCCAGCAGUUCUUAUUAAUGACUGCAGCUUGGAAGCUACUGCCUUUGUUAUAUCAAAAGAGACUGUGACUGUGGGCUUUUCAGAAACCUUUCUUGAGGUCUUCCACAGCUGCGCUUUCUGUUUUACAUUUGAAAGGUUUGACACCUUAGCAGUAUAAAGUUAUAGGUUUUAUCCCUAAAACUUCCCAAAUGCAGUUUCCAUUAUUAACACAGUUGCGACAGCUAUAGUUUGUUUAUAUUGCUUCACCUGGGGCACAUAAACUUAAAGGACUGAAAAUACCUCCAUGCAAUAAAAGAAUUUUAUAUAAUUGCAACCUCUUGCUGUAAGGGACAGCUGGCCUUUGAAAGUUGGGAACUCAUUUACGUCAUUGAAGUAAAAUGUAAGCCUGGGCUUUAAAUGGCUGUAAUUUAUGUUUCUGAAGCUCAAAACAAAAACAUGGCUGUCCAAAGGGCAAAUACCUUCCGAACACAUUAAUACUUACAAUUCAGCUGAGGACUGUGUGAGUCUACAGCUCCUUGACAGGAGGCUGUCGGUGGCUGUCCAGAAUUGCUGCAGUUUCUUUUGACGCUUAUUCUCUUAUUAUCUCUUGUUUGCUUGAAUUUCUAUGGGCAGUUUCCUAAUUCAACAGUUAUAACUGUUUCCUAAUCUGCAGCCCCUGCACAGUCAGUAGGGGUGAGUCCCAAAGGUGCCACAUCGUCGUCACAGGGAACUGGAGUUACUAAUGCCCACCAGGUCAGUGUGGCUGUGGGUCUGCAAGUCAUUGUCUCUCAUCACUGAAAAGAGUCAAUUCCUUGUUGCUAGAUGAAAACCAGUGUCUUGAGAGCAGGAUAACCAGAAAUCACCCUGCAGUUCUUCUGCUGAGCAUUUUUUGGUCCCUGUCUCUAAGCUUUUUGUCUGGACACCAUUUAUAUACUUUGGGUUAAGGGCCUAGUUCCAAACAGCUGUUGCUUGUUUAGUGUUUUUUGCUAAUUUUUUUAUUAUUAUUUUUUUUAAUUUAUAAGAUUGAAAAUCCCUCUGGAAUGGGCUGACACCAAAAAUGUUUGUUCUAGUCCUUGGAUGAAGGCACCCACCCAUGGUUCAAGCUUUUAUGAUUUGCAAAUUCACCAACACUUAUUAUGGCAUUGCAAAACAACAACAACAAAAAGAAACCCAACCGCAGCUCCUGCAGAGCAAAUUCCAGGCUCAGAGCAUUGCUUCAAGCUUGCCAGCCCAUCAUCACAGGGGAGCCUGCAUCGAUUCUGAAGGUGUAUUUGCAGAUCUUAGUUCUAGCUUGACCAUGGUCUGACUUGGCUCCUUCCAACAGCGCACGGUUUUGUCAUUUGCUUUAAAUACGGAUUCAGAUGUAUCUGUGAUUUAAGAAAAAUUGAUCUCCUUUUCAUAAAAUGAUGUUGCUGCCCUGCACAGCUCACUGGAGUAGAGCAAAUGGCAGAUUUUCGUAGUGCUGGAUCACGGAAGUGUGAAUAUUGAAAUUGGGUUUCUGGAUCAAGAGAACUGUGCAAAGUGAAUUCAAAUUUCCCUUGAGCCUUGCAUGGGUGAACUCCAUUUCCUUCCCUUAAGCCACCUCUUUGGGCAAACUCAGUUACAAGAGAACUGUGCAUAAGUUUGGUCGAAGCCCAUUGGGCAGAAAUGAUGGUGGCUGUUGAUGUCCCUCAUGACGGCGAGUAGGAAGAUAUGGGUGCACACGUGGAGAUCUCUUAGCAGUUUGCAUGCUGACCCUUGCUUAAGGAUUAAUUUUCCUUUGGAAUCGUAGUGGAAGUAUUAAGCAGGGAAUUUGGGAAAAACACAGAAGCGGCUUUAGCAAAUGUGCUCUGAGCCCUGCUCCUGGGUGAGGAGGGGAGCCUGAAAGCCAGCCCAGUCCUUCCCUUCCCGCACAGCUCUGGGAGGUGCUGUCAGGGCCUGGGAAUGUGCUCCUGCACAUUACAUCCUCCCCUAUGGGGGCACAAGGGAUACUGGGGUCCAUGCAGAAGGACAAGCCCCAGAGGUCAUUUACACCUAAAUCUGGAGGAACUGAGCUGCUUGCAGACGCUGCUACAGUAAGUAGUGAAUAGGGGUUGAGCAUCUGUGUUAGAAAUCCAAGCCUGAGAUGAUCCCAGAGGCACCAAGGACAGUUGUGGACCUGUUUUCCAGCUCCACCAUUGAGUUUGCCAGAGGAAAAAAGAGUCAAAGCUUCCAGCAAACACAGUGCUACAGAGCUGCUGCAACUGUGAACGAUUCCAUUCUUCCCGGAUGUUCAGAACUGAAUGCCAAUGGAGAAUAUAUUCCCUAAAACAAAUGGAAUGGCUAACUGGACCAGCAUGAACAGAAGGUCCAGCUGAUGGUUCAUGGCCCACCAUGAGUGUGUACAAGUGGAGGAGUGCUGGAACACAAAGCAUUUCCCUUUCUUCCUCCCUUUUCAAGGCCACAAGAUGGACAGAAGUAUAAUUUCUAAUUUUCUAAUGUUUCUAAGGACGCUGUAUAGGGGAGGUUUGCAGGCAGGGAGGAGCUUGUCCCUUCCUGGGGAUUAACUGAUGGAGGGGAUGCUGUGCUCGGACACUGCUCUCAGUGCAGUCCUGCCCUGUGUCACAGAACCUUCUGUACCUGCUCUGAAACAGCUGCAGAUGCUGAGAAUUUAAAGGCGAGUUCUUAUGAUCUAUGGUGGCUGAAAUGUCUAUAAACACCUUGAGUCUCUCCAGAGAUCUCUGUGCUUGCCAAACUCUGCAGCUUACUAGCAUGUCUCAUUAUAUGCUGUGCUUUCUGUAAAGUCCCCCUCCUGGAGCCCGUGAUUAUGUGAGCCCUGCAGAGAAGUCGGUUUAAAGACCUCAGUACAUCCUCAGUGCUAACAUAGAAAAGGUAGAUGAAGAAGCCCUAAUUUAAUUACAGAGUUGAAAGCCUUUAAUAGCAUUUGAGCCUACUUGUGUCUUUUCCUCCACCACUGGCAGUUAUCAAUAUUGAGAUCACAAAAUAUAUACAUAAUAUUUAAACAUAUUAGUAACCCAAGGCUAUAGAUUGCUCAGCUGAAAUCUGCUGAACAUCAAUCAGCAGAUUCAGUGUCUUAUGGCUGAAAUAAAUCUGAUCAGAAAACAAAACUAAAAAAAAUCAGUAAAACGAGCAGCAUGACUCACUCUAUCUUCCCUUGCUGAAGUAAGAUGCCUGCAGGACUCUCAUGUUGCUUUCAAGCAGAAAUGUAUAUGUUGCAGAGCUGAUUUGGGUGUGCGUAUCCUUUAAAAUGGAUCCAGGAUAUUAGAUGUCCUCUGUGAGUGUAUGUGUUAAGGGGAUGGACAGGGUACUUGAUCUAGAAGAGCUAUGAAGACAUCCAAGAGGCAGUGUUUUCUUGUGUUUUGAUUUAAACAGAAAUUUAAACAGAAAGUUUCAUUUCCUUUUUGAGGGAUGCUUUGGAUUUACACAACUGCAUGGUAUUGUCAGUCACAGGACAUGGUCUUUCACAGUUAGCAAGAGGAUGGAGAGGAGCAGAGAGGACCCUCUCAACCAGCAGCACAGCAGUCAGAGCCACCAUCUGACUGCCAUGAGUCUCCUGCAGGCUUUCCCCCCUAGGCUGAGGAAGGUUGUCCUAACCCAUAGGUACCAUAUCUGGAUAUGACUACGUCAGCGUUGUCCUUAGGAUCAGGAAUCUGGAAGCAAAUACCCCAAUCAUCUCCUCUUGCAGCGUGCUCCCCUUGGCUCGUGGUGCUGCAGCACAUGAACUGGAUGGCUUUUUGGCUUUUGGAGGAUGCUGCACGAGAUGAUGUGCUCCCGCUCACUCAAGUGCUUGGUCACUAAUGGUCAGUUGGUACUGGGACUGAUCCCCUCUGAAAACACACAGUGUGGACACCUGCUGCUCAGUAUUUGUUUGCUAAAGCUAAUGAAGAUGCGUGUGCUCUGCUCACAGAAGCACUCAGCCAGCUACAGAAAGCCCCCAGCUCGUGGCAUGUAGUUUUCUUUUCUGAAGAAGCGUAACUCCUGUCAAUACCAAACAAGAAGAGACACUGUUUAAAAUUGGUGUGCCUUUCCACUGUUUUUCUUCCCAUCCCCUCUCUCCUCCCUACAGGUGAAUUCUUUGUGCCUUCUUUGUUUCCUGGGAAAGAACACGACUUUAUGGCAGACAGGAAUGCUGACCCACUUGUCUUCUGCUGCGAGCAUCCGUCAAACCUGGCCUCUUUGUCCCCUGGAGCCUUAAUUUUCCUCUUGACAGCAAAGACAAAUGACCACCACAGGGCUGUUUGCUCAUGUCUACUCAAGGUUUCCAUAACAUUUCUUAAAGAUGACCUGUUUUUUAAACACACAUGGAGUUUUCUCUCUGCUGUCACCUUCCAGCAUGAAAGGUUUGUUUUAAGAAAGCCUUACAGUGCCAAUCCCCUGUCCACCUUCCCUCUCUUCUCUCUGCUUUAAGCUUCUUACAGUUCUUACGUGCUGUCAGCUGUAAUACUUUUCCUCCUUUUGGGGCUGUCUUGAAGAUACAGUGAUGUGUUGUUUGUGGUGGAACAAUAACAGAGUAAAAAUAAUUGGUUUUCUUGUUCUUCCGGAAGGGAAAAGUGAAUCCCAUUUCAUCCACCAGAGCAAGAGAUGUUUGAAGGUAGAACCAGAGUGUGCUUUUCUCUUGGGGGUGGAGGUGAGAUCCUGACACCUCCAUGAGUGCUUAGAUGGCUAAUCUGCAUCUCAUGAAUUACUUUCAGGUUUUUAAUAUAUUUUAAUUUCUGCAAAUAUUUCUGGAAUCAAAAGUAUAUGUCCCAAAGGCAACUUCUCUUCCAGUAAUGCCACAUGUGAGCAGAGUGAAGCAGUGGUCACCUAUCUGCAGGCUCCCACCCGCUCAGAGGCACCAUAUUCUCUGCAGAACAAUGUCUUAAAGCCACUUCUCUCCAUCCCCAUUGAAAAAUCUGACCUGACUGCCACUGCAGAGCUGAGAAGGCAGGCAGAAAACACAAGGAAAUAACUGGUUUUGUUAUUAAAAUCUGCAGUAUGGAGCAUGGGACAAGGCAAUUUCAAUUCCCUAAUUCUAUAAUUCCAGAGAGCUUUUCUUUGUAAAUGAAAUACAACUUUUUAAUAUAGUCUUUGGCAAAAACGUGCUUCCUUUUAUUUUCCUCCUUGUGGAAACUUAAGAAACCACUCUGUAACAUCACACACAGAGUAGCCUACUCCUAUGCUGGGAAACACCAACGGCUUUCAUUUGGGAGGACUACUGCCAGCCCUGGCUAUGAUUGAAGCCCCAUAAAAAUGAAGAGAUUCUCUUGCCAGAUUCAUCCUGGUGUUGAAAGACAGAAGAAAGCUGUUGCCACUUUCCAGUUUCCCUUGGCACGAGGAUUUUCCGAUGAGCCAGGACAUCCCAGGGAGGAAGGUCAGUGCUGGCUCACCUGCAUACUGGCUGUGCUCAGCACAGCCCUCCUGGCACUGCAUUCCCAAGCACUGCCGAGCAGCCAUGGGGUUGCACAAAGUCUCUUUGGGCUCUGGAAUAAGCUCCUUGUUCACAUGAAAACCAUACAAUCCAGGCACGGCACAAUACAAACCCUUCUUGGCUAUUGAAUGCCAUAAUUACAUAGUGCGUAGCUAUGAGUAAUUGUGUGUAUGGAAAAGAGCUCUCAAAUCCACCGCUGUGUGCUGCUGGUGUAAAUGGCUGAUUUAUACACAUAGCAUAAUUUAAACAACCCACGGGCCGUAAUGUGCCCCCACAUGUUUAGCUGAGUGUCCCCAAAUUUGUUUUGCACGUUUAUCCUUCCAUUUGUUCAGAACUUACAUGUUCUUUGACUUUACCACGUGCCUUCCAGCAUUAUUUCAUGGAAAUUCCAAUUUCCUGCCCUGAAAGAAAGCCUGAUGAUAAUGAGGAGCUUGAAGCUUUUCAAACAAAAAGGCAGUUUGAGUCAAUUCUGCAUUUUGCUUUUAAUCAAAACUAGUCGUAUGCAUUUGCAUCGACAACGAGCUCAGCCCACAAUACUCCAUAUGGGCUUGGCUGCUGGCAUUCAGGGGCAACUGAAAAAGCUCCCCAUUUCUCAAAGGUUUAAGGAUGACCUUGCAGAAGUGUCGUUUGUCAAGUGUCAGAUUUUCCAGAAUGGCUGGAUAAUAUCCCUGGAAACGUUCUGAGAAUCAAAGAGCCAAAUUCUGCCGUGGCCAGAGCAGCACAUCAACACUCACCUGCAAGGAGAGGGGGGGAAAUGGGGAACAGGAAGAUUUUAAUGGACCCUGAAAGAUUUUUUCAUGAUGCUUUAUCUAGAUAUUCAUCUUCCACUUUAGCUGUGCUUUAUUUUUUAGCCAUACUAUAUUGACUCUGUUUCAACUGAGCCUGUAAUACAUAAGAAAACAAGCUACGGUCCAUUAAUCCGGACACCUAUUUGUAAUUCUGGGGUGUCUACAACACGUGGAAACAGCCUUAAAACUUUUACUGCUCCCCAGUUCUGAGCUGAUCUCGCAGAACCCCCUUCACGCUAAUACCAAGAAGGUCGCACCCAGGAGGGGGUGUCCAUGAAUGGGCAGUUUUAGCACCAGGUCUCUAUUUUUGAGCAAAUUAAUAGCACCCAGAAGGGCUGCAGCACACAGACUGUGCAGGUCUGUUCUACAGAGCGUGAACAAUUAGGAGAAAAGGGGACGGCAAAUCACAUGAAAUGCCUGGAUGUGCUGCCGUGAGGGGUUGUACAAGUUUUGCUUGGGAAGGAUUUAUUUCCACUCAUUUUGGUCCUGUGGCUGUGAGAGGCUUGCAAAACCUUUCACCUUCUUUCCCUAGAGUCGUAUAUAUUUUAUGAGAAAUUUAAGAAUUACCUCUUAUUAAAAUGUGGAUAGUGUAAUUACCAAUAAAAAGCAGAUGUUGUGGCAUGACUAAUGCUUAAAAAUGUGUAUGUAACAAGCACGACAUAGCAGCACAUCCAGGCUUUUCAGUAAGAUAAUAAAAGUUGACUUUGUUGGAUCAAACUGGCCAAGUCACAGAGGUCUGAAGUUGGAGGGAAGUUGUUAUGGAAAACACUGGAAGGCUCCAAAAAAGAACAGCUUUCCUCCCACUGACCUCUAGAGCAAAGUUGGACUCCAGGAGGUACAAAUGCAAGGAGAAAUGACCCUCUUUGCCUUGCUCACAUCAGGAGGUGUCUGAAAGUUGUCCUGCUCCGAGCACCGUGACUUGCUAUGCUGAGAGCAUCCUUCCCCUAAAAGCUGUAAUGAGUGUAAUUAGUGAACUCCCCGACACCUCAGGCACCUCCCAGGGGGUCCAUAACCCACCUGCAGCAGUCAAGAUCAUUCCCUUGGACCCAUCCCAAGGAUUCUGGCAAGGGGAAUCUGGAACGAUCUGCUUGGGCUGACUUUUGAAAGAGGAAUGCUCAGACAUCAUGCAAAUUGGGUUGUACAGUGAGCUCCUCCAGCAGUUCCUGCUUCACAAACUUCGGCUGUGCUCACAGAUUCAUCUCUCUUUCUUCCUGGCUGGUUUGGAAAGAAGCGUUCCCAGCUCGGAAAGAGGGUCUGUUUUUCAGAGUGAGGGCACUCGUUUUGGAACGCAGGGAGGAUCUGUGCCUUGUAUGGGGUGGGUGCAAGGGGAGUGGGAGGUGGGGGGCACCCAGAGGUGCAGGGGUCUGGAACAUCCCUUCAGGGAGCUCUGGUGCUCUCCUCUGCCUUCUGCCAUCACAUCCCACAUCCUUCUUUGUCCUAAAGCCCAUGCCUUGCCCACAUGCUGGAAAUUCAGAACAGAAUCAUUAAGGUUGGAAAAGACCUCUAAGGCCCCAAGUCCAAACCCAACCCAUCCCACUGUACCCAGUGACCGUGUCCCAGGUGCCACAUCUCCACAGUUCUGAACACCCCCCCACCUCCCUGAGCAGACUGUGCCAGUGCAUCACCACCCUUUCUGAGAAUAAUUUUUCCUUAAUACCCAGCCCGAACCUCCACUGACACAACUUAAAGCUAUUCCCUCUCAUCCUCUCGCUGUUACCUGGGAGAAGAGACCUAAAUUUGAGCAUGCUGGAGGCAGCAGAGAUGCUCCAUCUUUUCCUUAAGACCCUGCCCUGUUCAGUCGUUCUCCCUGAAUUUCCUCUACAGAAAGAUGCUACCUUUCAACUAAAGACAAAGAAAUCCUUAGCCUGCUCUGGACAGGCAGCAGUGCUGGCUCCUGGAGGAAGCUGCCAGGCUGAGGGAUGAUCCCAUGGGCACGCACUGCAAAGGAUGCACCUGCGGGGAUGGGAGCUCGGGGGCUGCUCCUUUCCCCUUUGAUGGUUUUUCUGUUUGCUUGUACCAGUGUUAGCUCUGUCAUUUUGGGAAAUGGAACUAAGGCACAUGCGUAAGCAGCCCCUGACAGCAAUUAGUUCUGGCAGUAUUUUUGUGGUAAUGAAUUUCAAUGAAGCUGGGGUUUUCGGUGCCUGAACACUUCAUUAGCUGCUGCUAUAUCAUCCUGAUGCAGUUGAGAAAUCAUAUUAUAAUAAACAACAUUUUACUGCAGGCAGCAACAAGGAUAAUAAAUGGGAUGAAUAAUAAUUCAGGCUAUUCACAAUCAUCCCUACGCUUUAGAGUUCUGGAAUUUUUGGUAAAUAGAUUGAAUACUGUAUGAGGAUGAAUCUUACUCUGAAUUUCUCAGUGACUCAGUUAUUUAUGGGCUUUUUUAAUGUAUUCUUAGAGAAUGUGCUCCACUUUGUCACACUUGCCAGUUAAACACUGAAAUACAUGCACGCUGUUAUGGCAGUAAGGAAAGUUAUCUGUCAUUUAGCAGAAAGCAAUUGCAACCUGAAUGAAGGAAAGGAGAUGAUAACUAUUUCGAUGUGAGAUAUCAGGAAGUCUUUGUGUGUUUCUAUAUAUUUACAGGAUAUAGUAAGUACUUUUAUGUAAGUAUGGAAAUAUGUGGCUUUUGAAAACGCCUUGAAAGGCACAACUGAGGCAUUCCCUUCUUCCUUUUGCAUGUAUCAGCCAAAGAGAGCAGCAUUAUUCUGUCACAGAAAAAGGAAAUUAAUACUGAUCACUGCCUUUGCAGUGAUUAGUAUGCAAAUGGGAAAAAAAAUGCCUGAAUCUGAUGCUAUUUCUGUUGAAACGUAUCCUUCCAUGUGAGUCACGUUGGCUGCCCUGUGGCUCUGUGGGGCUGCAGAGGGCGGUGGAGGAGAGGGCCCUGAGGUGCUGGUUGGGGUCACUGAAGGGAUGGAGAGGGCUGUUUUCAUAGCCAGAGAGAACUGAAAACAAAAGCAGUUCAGUUUCUGAAGUCUCUAUUCGGCACGUUCCCUGGAUAAAGAUCAGACAUGUGUUGUCAUAAUACAAAUUUCCUCCCGGAUCAGACGUAUGAUUUCUGUGCUCUGUGCUGGUGAAGUCACCCUGACUCAUCGUUCUUGGAACCUGGAAAAAAAAAUGCUUGUUUCAUUUUCAAGAGAACAUGUGGAGAAAGCUCAGAAACACAAUGAGCUCUCAUCAGCCCCAUCCAUCCCUACCAGGUAAGGUAGGUAAGGACUGAUGGGUUUCACCAAGAGAUGUAAUCUUUGUGCCAAGCAAUGAAAUGCCCAUGCUGUCAUAAUUACUGGUGGUUUAAAAUGUGUGGGAGCUUUCAAGUGGAGUUUUUCCUCAUUUUUCCCUCUUAGAUGAGGGCUGCUCAUCUAAGAAUUUGAGCAGCAAGCAGUGUAAAUGUUAAAGGUUUCUAGAGUAAAUGAUGGCUUCUAAGCAUGUGCCGACUGGAUAAAACUGGGGGUCCUGUAGGAUACCUCCUAUCUUUUCUUUCUAGUUAUAGGUGAUAACCAUUUGACAAAACCAAAGCCAUGGAAAAAAGACCAGCAAUGGAAAGAACCAAUCUGCUUCUGAAAGAUGGGUUUUAUGAGUAUGACAAAUGCAGUAAAAUCAUAAAUCCAAAAUGAUCAUUUAUAAGGGGUUAUCUCAGUAAUUUAUUUUCUCUCUGAUAGGGAUAAAAACAACCAGGAGUAGGACAACAGUCCCACUUUGUGAUGCUGCCCUGGAACCCCAUCACCAAGGCAACAAAACGGAUGUGGGAUGAUGCUCUCCCCACAGGCUUUCUCUUCUUCAAUGCUUCUUGGAACAUUUAGGAGCACCACUGAUCUAUCAAGAUUUUCAGGAGACCAAUAAUCAGACUAAAUCAACCAUGGGAGUGCCAUGACUUUGGUUUGGAAUCUGUCAAGGAAACUCAUGCAGUCGCUAAAUUUAACCUCAAAUCAGAUCAAAUGAGGAGCAGUUUGUCCAGCCUCUCUUAUAUGGCUUAAAUGCAGAGGAAGAGAAGCCUGAAAGCAACUGGAAAAAUGAAGGAGAAGGUGAAUGUGCAGAGCUUGGUGGAGAUGCUGAGAAGACCACUCACCCAGCUCUGAGGGCAGAGAGGAAGCCGUGUUCUUCCAUGGCCAAUGUAGAGCCAACAUCCCAGCAGCUCCUAGGAGGCAGCACCUUGGGAAGCUGUCUGCCAACCUUCUCCCUCUCCACCACGCUGCCAAGCCUGGACUGGCCCUUUUCUUCCACUGGAUACGUCCCUUACUACAGAACAGAAGCAGAGCUCCACGUCGGCCCAGCAAUGUUUGACAGGUUUCUCACUAGGACAGAAAUUUCAGAGAACGAAGAGGGAAGAUGGGUAGAAGAAAAAAACACUUGGAAUUUUGGUGCCAGCUGCUUGGUGUCCUGAGAACAAAGCAGCAAGUUUGUCAGCAAAAGGCAGAAACUGAUUUAACAUAGACGUGAAUUAGAAGUUCUUGAAAGCCAUAGCCACGUGAACAUCUGUAUGAAUAUGGAAUAAAUAUACUUCUCCCUUUGAAUAAAACAGUAAGUGAGAAACUGGACUCUAAUGACAGAAGAAAGCAGCAGGGAAAUGUCUAAUGGGGAAAACUUGCUUUAGAAAACGUGAUGAAGGAGGAGGGUGAAGUUCAGAACUGUGUUUUUCUGUGGCUAACCCCACAGAGAACUUGCUCUCUCCCAGCCAAGAGUAGAGGAACUUCCAGUACCUCUUGGUCGGAGUGAAUCCCCCCAGUAACACAAAAUUGGCACAGAAUUCCCUGAUUCUCCUGAAGAACCCAUGUUCUGCCAUGCUGAUGGCAUAUGGAUACACAUUUUUUGCAGCUGCGUUCAAGACCAAGUGAGAGAGGUGACCACACAGAUAAAGAAGAGAAAAUUCCCAUGUUUACAAAGAUGAAAGACAGUAAAUCCACUCACAAAGUCAGCAAAUAAUCUGCAAAUUGAAAAUGUCCUCUUUGCCUUUUAUCCAUACCUGCUGCUCCCCCAGUAUGGACUGUACAGGGCCAGCGGUGAUCUCUUGUUCAUGGGAAUGUGUGACAGCUGUGAAACGACAGUGCCAAUGCAGAAGGGAUGUGCAGCCAUGGGAAACGGCCAGCGGGAAGAAAUAAGAAUUAUUUGAAUCUAAGCUGCUUGGAGGAAUUAAGUGGAGACAUAAUUUCCAGUAGGAAUUGGGAAAUACAUUUCCUCUCCUCUCCACUACAAUCCUUCCAUUGUAUUAAUGGCAUCUGUUAGACAACAGUCAUACACAAGAGAAAAAAAGCAUUUUUAUUUAAAAUCUUUGUCAGUAAAAUUUUUUGAACACA
This is a non-coding RNA of Meleagris gallopavo (turkey), 14843 nucleotides long. The record is from RefSeq and is a predicted model, not a curated record. NCBI's taxonomy places the organism in Eukaryota, Metazoa, Chordata, Aves, Galliformes, Phasianidae.